This 199-nucleotide ribosomal RNA is filed under the name uncultured Rhodopseudomonas sp. Its description in RNAcentral is "partial 16S ribosomal RNA". It matches the Rfam family "Bacterial small subunit ribosomal RNA", at positions 88 to 304 of the family's 1533-position model. Lineage: Bacteria; Pseudomonadati; Pseudomonadota; Alphaproteobacteria; Hyphomicrobiales; Nitrobacteraceae. The record is from RNAcentral.
UACGUCAGUGGCAGACGGGUGAGUAACGCGUGGGAACGUACCUUUUGGUUCGGAACAACUGAGGGAAACUUCAGCUAAUACCGGAUAAGCCCUUACGGGGAAAGAUUUAUCGCCGAAAGAUCGGCCCGCGUCUGAUUAGCUAGUUGGUGAGGUAAUGGCUCACCAAGGCGACGAUCAGUAGCUGGUCUGAGAGGAUGAU